This 245-nucleotide ribosomal RNA is filed under the name uncultured bacterium. RNAcentral's name for it is "partial 16S ribosomal RNA". It matches the Rfam family "Bacterial small subunit ribosomal RNA", at positions 524 to 768 of the family's 1533-position model. The record is from RNAcentral.
UACGGAGGGUGCAAGCGUUAAUCGGAAUUACUGGGCGUAAAGCGCACGCAGGCGGUCUGUCAAGUCGGAUGUGAAAUCCCCGGGCUCAACCUGGGAACUGCAUUCGAAACUGGCAGGCUAGAGUCUUGUAGAGGGGGGUAGAAUUCCAGGUGUAGCGGUGAAAUGCGUAGAGAUCUGGAGGAAUACCGGUGGCGAAGGCGGCCCCCUGGACAAAGACUGACGCUCAGGUGCGAAAGCGUGGGGAG